This 112-nucleotide ribosomal RNA is filed under the name Caerostris darwini. The record is from RNAcentral. Lineage: Eukaryota; Metazoa; Arthropoda; Arachnida; Araneae; Araneidae.
AACGGCCAUACCAUGCUGAAUAUACCGGUUCUCGUUAGAUCACCGAAGUUAAGCAUCAUUGGGCGUGGUCAGUACUUGGGUGGGUGACCACCUGGGAACUCCACGUGCCGUU